RNAcentral lists this transfer RNA (46 nucleotides) under Tepuihyla shushupe. Its description in RNAcentral is "partial tRNA-Gln". The record is from RNAcentral. Lineage: Eukaryota; Metazoa; Chordata; Amphibia; Anura; Hylidae.
UAAAGAAAUAGGAAUUGAACCUAUAACUGAAAGAUCAAAACUCUCC